This 247-nucleotide ribosomal RNA is filed under the name uncultured Bacillota bacterium. Its description in RNAcentral is "uncultured Firmicutes bacterium partial 16S ribosomal RNA". It matches the Rfam family "Bacterial small subunit ribosomal RNA", at positions 796 to 1041 of the family's 1533-position model. The record is from RNAcentral. Lineage: Bacteria; Bacillati; Bacillota.
CACGCCGUAAACGAUGGAUACUAGGUGUAGGAGGUAUCGACCCCUUCUGUGCCGUAGUUAACGCAAUAAGUAUCCCGCCUGGGGAGUACGUGCGCAAGCAUGAAACUCAAAGGAAUUGACGGGGACCCGCACAAGCAGCGGAGCAUGUGGUUUAAUUCGAAGCAACGCGAAGAACCUUACCAGGGCUUGACAUCCCGAUGACCGGUACAGAGAUGUACCUUCUCUUCGGAGCAUCGGUGACAGGUGG